Molecule: long non-coding RNA, 609 nt
Filed under: Homo sapiens (human)
Lineage: Eukaryota; Metazoa; Chordata; Mammalia; Primates; Hominidae
Description: HSALNT0078448
Source: RNAcentral
CGCCUGUCCCCUACGCAGGGCUCUCUGCUCCCCAUCACCCGCCUCUAGCACUUAUCCAAGUUCAACCUGACCACUCUUGGCCUUUGUAAAUGGACUUUGGGUCCUUGCCUUCCCCACCUCUGUACGUUAGGUCCCGUAAACCGGGAGAGGAGACACCCUCCCCGGGGCGCCCCUUACAUGACCACUCCCGAGUCGUCUGAGGGUCCGCAAGCCCUUAAACGAGGCUUUGAAAGCCUCGGACAGGACAGGUGCGUCCUGUCUAACUCGCCAGUGGCCCUGGGCGAGCUUCAGUGCGAUCAAAGUUCUACGUGCGAGAGCCGCCGAAUGCCAAACCUGACUGGCUGAAAGUUGGGUUCACCUUGGGCACCACUGUCUUCUUGUGGAUCUAUCUCAUCAAACAACACAAUGAAGAUAUUUUAGAGUACAAAAGAAGAAAUGGGCUGGAAUAAACUUUUGAAACACUAAUGUAGUAUGCUCCGUAUAGUGAUUGUAGCUGUUCCUCUGGAUUCACCAUCUGUUGAGUUGUAAAUGUGAGAGAAAAAGUUAUAUGUGAAUAUAUAUCAAGCCAGCAUUUGUAUUUUGCAUCAUUAAAUAAAAAGAAAUAAAAAU